GUACGGGAGGCAGCAGUAGGGAAUUUUCGGCAAUGGGCGCAAGCCUGACCGAGCAACGCCGCGUGAGGGAAGAAGGUCUUCGGAUCGUAAACCUUUGUCUUUGGGGACGAUAAUGACGGUACCCAAGGAGGAAGCCACGGCUAACUACGUGCCAGCAGCCGCGGUAAUACGUAGGUGGCAAGCGUUGUCCGGAAUUACUGGGCGUAAAGGGCGUGUAGGCGGUAAAUUAAGUCAGACGUGAAAACUCAGGGCUUAACCUUGAGACUGCGUUUGAAACUGAUAGACUAGAGGAUCGGAGAGGGCAGUGGAAUUCCCAGUGUAGCGGUGAAAUGCGUAGAUAUUGGGAGGAACACCAGUGGCGAAGGCGACUGCCUGGACGACACCUGACGCUGAGGCGCGAAAGCCAGGGGAGCAAACGGGAUUAGAUACCCUGGUAGG
Molecule: ribosomal RNA, 438 nt
Filed under: uncultured bacterium
Lineage: Bacteria
Description: bacterial SSU rRNA
Rfam family: Bacterial small subunit ribosomal RNA
Source: RNAcentral